AAGACAUUAAUUAGUUGUUUCAGGUGUGUUUGAGUAGGGUUGGAGCUAAACUUUGCAGGACAGUCGAUCGCCAUUAACAGAGUUGGACACCCCUGUGCUAGAGGGUUAUUGUGUAUGUCUCCACUGGGCACACUUUGACUGAUGCCACCGGGGUGGCGUUGGCGCUUACGGCUCGGGCCCGCCAUCGCUGCUUGCAGCUAUAUUUAUUAUUAUUUUUUUUAUUUUUCUUUCGACUAAACGGGGCUUUUUGGGGGCCUUAAAGUGCUCAAAAACUCUUGAAAAUUGGCACACACAUUGGAAUCUGCGGUCAUUAGGACGCCGCAGAGACUUGGCCCCCGGCGUGGCACAGGGACUCUACGGCGCCCCCUGGAACACAGUCAGAAAUCUUGAACCAUAGCUCACACAAACUUGCAUGUAUUUAUAUGAAACUCUGUACACUUAUAGAUCUCAUUGAGCCGAACAACUUUUGCACUCUAUGUCAUAGGCUCCGCCCAACAGGAAGUCAGCUAUUCAGGGUUGUUUAAAAAGUGCAUGCUCUGGAAUUUGAUAUACUCCUCUGAGGAUUUCCACCCAUUCGCCACAAAACUCUGUGAACAUGAUCUCAAGACAUUGGG
This is a long non-coding RNA of Cyprinus carpio carpio, 614 nucleotides long. Lineage: Eukaryota; Metazoa; Chordata; Actinopteri; Cypriniformes; Cyprinidae. The record is from Ensembl.